UAGGGCGGAGGCAGGCAGAUUUCUUUGAGUUUGAGACCAGCCAGGACUAUAGAGUAAGACCUCUCAAGCAAAAACAAGCGGCAUGGGGAGGUUUAUUGCUGGCAGCAAACUAGGAGCAAACUGGGGACCAUUCAAAGCAGUGUCUCCCUAGGCAAGUCUAUCAGGGGGCUCUCAUUGGUGAAACACACCCAUUCAUCAUCACAUGGAGACAAGGGACAUGUGAGCAUGCUCAGUUUAACAUUAUGCUUUUCAUACACUGCAUACUCAAAAAGUGUGUGUGGGGGGAGGAGGCUGAAACACAGCUGGGAAUGGUGCCGAAUAUCUCUAAUCUUAGCACUUGGGAGGCAGAGGCGAGGUCUGGAGUUCAGGGCCAGCUUUGGUGGCAGAGUGAGUUUGAGUACAGUGUAGGUUACACGAGACCUUGACUCUGAAAAAUAGAAAGGAAGAAAGAGAAAGAAGGGCUGGCAUAAUAGGUCAGGAAGUAAAGAUGCUUCCUGGACCCCAUGUAAAGGUGAAAGGAGACUAUAGACUCCACAAUGUUACCCUCUGACUUCCACAUACUCUGUGAUACACAGACCCUCCCGCCUUCCCCCACACUUUGUGACACACUGUCACAGCUCCCUCCGCCCCCCAACACCAUGAAUACAUAGUAUAGACACACACAAAUAAAAACAAGACUUUAAAAGAAAAACAGCAGACACGGACACACUUGAGAAUUUUAUUUUAUAAUGAACAAAAUGUAUUCUAAGUUACCUAGGCCUAGGUCAGAAUGACUUCACAGUCUUGGCUGGCUCCUUUUAACUUUCCCUGGAGAGUCUUCUAACUUGGAGGCUAGAAGCUCAAAUCAAAUGAUGCAGAUUCUUGGUGGGUGGGCCCAGCUUCUUUGGCCUUGAGUGUGGAAUGGAUGUGCACGGAGUCUGUUUUCAUUUCUAUUUUAGUGUGUGUUCCUGCUUAUGAAAACAACGUCACUGCAAAACAGGAUGCUAUAUUACACUAGCAGCUGCCUCAGCUCUGUCUAGUGUUUAUCCUUCUCUUAAAGAUUCACCAUGUAGCCCAGGCUAGCCUGGAUUCUGUCAUUAUUUUGCCCUAUCUCCUUAGUGUACCACCAUAUCUGGUGGCUAGGGGCCCUUGUUGGAUUUGAUUCCUAGCACCAUUAUGUUGGCUCACAACUACCCUCAAUUCCAGUUCCAAGGAACUCUUCACCCUCUUCUGACCCACAUGGGCACCAGGUACAUAGGGGAUACACAGACAUACAUGCAAGCAAAACAUUCAUACAUCUAAAAUUAAAUAAAUAAAUAAUAAUAAAAAAAAACCCCAGCCCAGGCCCCCUUUGGAAACAGAUACCUGGCUACUGCCAAGUGUAACUUAAUUAUAACCCAAGGAGCCACAGUACUGACAAAUAACUCCAAGAGGAUGCUAUCUCUUUAGAAAAACAGAGGGCUGCAUGACUGCAUUAAUUCCCCCCGGGUCACAGCCCCCUCUAGACAUAGGUCAGGACAGACAGACGUGAGACCCAGUUCCGGGCUAGUUCCUUAGUCACUCUUUGGAAGGGAGGGGGCCCAGUGGCAGGAAGCACGAGAGAGCAGAGAACACAACAAUUCAACAAAUCGCUCCCCCCACCUCCUUCUUUCAGACAUUCUGGCUCUCUGGCUUUUCUCUUUUCUUUUGGUGCUAGGACAGAAGAGACUUCUGUGUGUAAGGCUCUCCCUGCAGCUGAGUCUCCCUGCCCUCCCGUGCUUUCUGAUUCUGACAGGAUGAUGAAGAUGACUCAAAGGGGAUGAGGAACUCGGCUGGAAUCCACUUGCUCACUCCCAGCUCCAGAGAGAAGGAAGGAUUCCCUAGCACCCUAAGCUGAGGGUUCGCCCCUUCCUCCUGUGGUCCCAUUCCCAAGAGUCCCAUCUCCUGGCUCACAGAGCAACUCUCCUUUGAAAAGUCCUACCCCAUCCAAACCAUUUCUCCUCUCUUAUGCUCACCCUGCUAGCCUGGGCCAAUUUCCAAGCAGCAAAAGCCAUGUCUUGAGGGGUGGGGAUUCCUGGAAAAAGUAACUUGGAUGGUUUUGCGUCUGAGUUUCCAUAUUCCCAAACGCAUUCAAUGUACUUGAUGGUUCCUGGGCUUAUCGCUUCCUGGAAACCACUGGUCAAGUGUGCUCCCACCACUGCUUUUACUCUGAAACACACCUCCAGGAGGAGGGGUCAGCUGAAGUCUGCAGCUGGGAUAAUAAAAGCUCAGUAGAUUGGCACAAC
Mus musculus (house mouse) is the source of this 2243-nucleotide long non-coding RNA. RefSeq annotates it as leucine rich repeat containing 75A, opposite strand 1. The record is from RefSeq and is a predicted model, not a curated record. Lineage: Eukaryota; Metazoa; Chordata; Mammalia; Rodentia; Muridae. The transcript has 3 exons.